RNAcentral lists this ribosomal RNA (372 nucleotides) under uncultured bacterium. Its description in RNAcentral is "bacterial SSU rRNA". It matches the Rfam family "Bacterial small subunit ribosomal RNA", at positions 524 to 898 of the family's 1533-position model. The record is from RNAcentral.
UACGGAGGGUGCAAGCGUUAUCCGGAUUUAUUGGGUUUAAAGGGUGCGCAGGCGGAUUUAUAAGUCAGCGGUGAAAGCCUACAGCUUAACUGUAGAAUUGCCAUUGAUACUGUGAAUCUUGAGUGUAGCUGAAGAGGGCGGAAUGUGUUGUGUAGCGGUGAAAUGCUUAGAUAUAACACAGAACACCGAUUGCGAAGGCAGCUCUCUAAACUACAACUGACGCUCAGGCACGAAAGCGUGGGGGUCAAACAGGAUUAGAUACCCUGGUAGUCCACGCCCUAAACGAUGAUUACUGGAUGUUAGCGAUACACAGUUAGCGUCUAAGCGAAAGCAUUAAGUAAUCCACCUGGGGAGUACGGUCGCAAGACUGAA